CAGUAGCCGCGGUAAUACGCAGGGUGCAAGCGUUACUCGGAAUCACUGGGCGUAAAGGACGCGUAGGCGGAUUACCAAGUCUCUUGUGAAAUCUAACGGCUUAACCGUUAAACUGCUUGGGAAACUGAUAAUCUAGAGUAAGGGAGAGGCAGAUGGAAUUCUUGGUGUAGGGGUAAAAUCCGUAGAUAUCAAGAAGAAUACCUAUUGCGAAGGCGAUCUGCUGGAACUUAACUGACGCUAAUGCGUGAGAGCGUGGGGAGCAAACAGGAUUAGAUACCCCCGUAGUCCCUGUCUCUUAUAC
RNAcentral lists this ribosomal RNA (301 nucleotides) under uncultured bacterium. RNAcentral's name for it is "partial 16S ribosomal RNA". It matches the Rfam family "Bacterial small subunit ribosomal RNA", at positions 509 to 807 of the family's 1533-position model. The record is from RNAcentral.